RNAcentral lists this ribosomal RNA (492 nucleotides) under uncultured bacterium. RNAcentral's name for it is "partial 16S ribosomal RNA". It matches the Rfam family "Bacterial small subunit ribosomal RNA", at positions 29 to 507 of the family's 1533-position model. The record is from RNAcentral.
AUUGAACGCUGGCGGCAUGCUUUACACAUGCAAGUCGAACGGUAACAGGCCUUCGGGUGCUGACGAGUGGCGAACGGGUGAGUAAUGCAUCGGAACGUACCCAGAGGUGGGGGAUAACGCAGCGAAAGCUGUGCUAAUACCGCAUGUGAUCUGAGGAUGAAAGCGGGGGACCGAGCAGCAAUGUUUGGCCUCGCGCCUUUGGAGCGGCCGAUGUCGGAUUAGCUAGUUGGUGGGGUAAAGGCCUACCAAGGCGACGAUCCGUAGCUGGUCUGAGAGGACGACCAGCCACACUGGAACUGAGACACGGCCCAGACUCCUACGGGAGGCAGCAGUGGGGAAUUUUGGACAAUGGGCGCAAGCCUGAUCCAGCAAUGCCGCGUGCGGGAAGAAGGCCUUCGGGUUGUAAAACGCUUUUGGCAGGAACGAAACGGUGUCCGCUAAUACCGGGCGCUAAUGACGGUACCUGCAGAAUAAGCACCGGCUAACUACGUG